RNAcentral lists this transfer RNA (72 nucleotides) under Bos taurus (domestic cattle). It matches the Rfam family "tRNA". From Rfam's summary of the family: Transfer RNA (tRNA) molecules are approximately 80 nucleotides in length. Their secondary structure includes four short double-helical elements and three loops (D, anti-codon, and T loops). Further hydrogen bonds mediate the characteristic L-shaped molecular structure. tRNAs have two regions of fundamental functional importance: the anti-codon, which is responsible for specific mRNA codon recognition, and the 3' end, to which the tRNAs corresponding amino acid is attached (by aminoacyl-tRNA synthetases). tRNAs cope with the degeneracy of the genetic code in two manners: having more than one tRNA (with a specific anti-codon) for a particular amino acid; and 'wobble' base-pairing, i.e. permitting non-standard base-pairing at the 3rd anti-codon position. Lineage: Eukaryota; Metazoa; Chordata; Mammalia; Artiodactyla; Bovidae. RNAcentral also lists the same sequence under 5 other names. The record is from Rfam by way of RNAcentral.
UCCCUGGUGGCUUAGCUGGUAAAGAAUCUGCCUGCAAUGCUGGAGACCUGGGUUCGAUCCCUGGUUUGGGAG